Molecule: transfer RNA, 72 nt
Filed under: Ovis aries (sheep)
Lineage: Eukaryota; Metazoa; Chordata; Mammalia; Artiodactyla; Bovidae
Rfam family: tRNA
About the family: Transfer RNA (tRNA) molecules are approximately 80 nucleotides in length.
Source: Rfam by way of RNAcentral
UCCCAGGUGGUCUAAUGGUUACGACUUGGCACUUUCACUGCUGGGGCUCAGGUUCAAUCCUUGGUCAGGGAA